RNAcentral lists this ribosomal RNA (253 nucleotides) under uncultured bacterium. RNAcentral's name for it is "partial 16S ribosomal RNA". It matches the Rfam family "Bacterial small subunit ribosomal RNA", at positions 524 to 776 of the family's 1533-position model. The record is from RNAcentral.
UACGGAGGGUGCGAGCGUUGUUCGGAAUUACUGGGCGUAAAGCGCGUGCAGGCGGCCGACUAAGUCAGGUGUGAAAGCCCGGGGCUCACCUCCGGAAGUGCGCUUGAAACUGGUCGGCUUGAAUCCGGGAGAGGGAUGCAGAAUUCCAGGUGUAGCGGUGAAAUGCGUAGAUAUCUGGAGGAAUACCGGUGGCGAAGGCGGCAUCCUGGACCGGCAUUGACGCUGAGGAGCGAAAGCCAGGGGAGCAAACGGG